This is a long non-coding RNA of Gadus macrocephalus (Pacific cod), 437 nucleotides long. RefSeq lists it as uncharacterized. NCBI's taxonomy places the organism in Eukaryota, Metazoa, Chordata, Actinopteri, Gadiformes, Gadidae. The transcript has 3 exons. The record is from RefSeq and is a predicted model, not a curated record.
AUUACUUUAGUACUUCGGUACCACUUUCUGAGCUAGAUUUUCUUUGUUUAAUAUACAAAAUGGUGAGCGCGAAAAUCCAACUCUAGUGGAGGCUGUGGAGAUGACCAGGGGAAAUAAAUGACACGGCAAUUGCUGACAAGUGAAGAUGCCUGACUUCUGUGCAGCCUACGGAUGCGUCAAUCUACGAACUCUCCAAACGAGAACCCGUGGGCUCACCUUUCACCUGUUUCCCAAAAACAAAACGAGAAGGAUUAAGUGGGAAAUGGCCCUAAGAAGGGACAGUUUUGCUGCUUCUGACAGGUCACUGCUCUGCAGUGACCACUUCAGGAAUGAGGACUUUGACAGGACGGGGCAGACUGUCCGGCUUAGAGAUGGUGUUGUGCCAACCCUUUUCAACUUCCCAGCUCGUCUUCAAAGGGUACGUGUAUCAUUGACCA